AAUCAACGCUGGCGGCGUGCCUCAGACAUGCAAGUCGAACGAUUAAACUUCCCUUCGGGGAAGAUAUAAAGUGGCGCACGGGUGAGUAACACGUAGGUAAUGUACCUUUGGGUGGGGAAUAACUUAGGGAAACUUAAGCUAAUACCGCAUAAUGCAGCGGCUCCUUCGGGAGACAGUUGUUAAAGAUUUAUCGCCUAAAGAGCAGCCUGCGGCAGAUUAGCUAGUUGGUAAGGUAACGGCUUACCAAGGCUACGAUCUGUAUCCGACCUGAGAGGGUGGUCGGACACACUGACACUGAAUAACGGGUCAGACUCCUACGGGAAGCAGCAGUCGGGAAUUUUGGGCAAUGGGCGAAAGCCUGACCCAGCAACGCCGCGUGAAGGAUGAAGUCUUUCGGGAUGUAAACUUCGUAAGAAUAGGAAGAAUAAAUGACGGUACUAUGUGUAAGGUCCGGCUAACUACGUG
Molecule: ribosomal RNA, 465 nt
Filed under: uncultured bacterium
Lineage: Bacteria
Description: partial 16S ribosomal RNA
Rfam family: Bacterial small subunit ribosomal RNA
Source: RNAcentral